CCUACGGGGGGCUGCAGUGGGGAAUAUUGGACAAUGGGGGCAACCCUGAUCCAGCCAUGCCGCGUGUGUGAAGAAGGCCCUCGGGUUGUAAAGCACUUUCAGUGAGGAAGAACGCCUGGUGGUUAAUACCCAUCAGGAAAGACAUCACUCACAGAAGAAGCACCGGCUAACUCCGUGCCAGCAGCCGCGGUAAUACGGAGGGUGCGAGCGUUAAUCGGAAUUACUGGGCGUAAAGCGCGCGUAGGUGGCUUGAUAAGCCGGUUGUGAAAGCCCCGGGCUCAACCUGGGAACGGCAUCCGGAACUGUCAAGCUAGAGUGCAGGAGAGGAAGGUAGAAUUCCCGGUGUAGCGGUGAAAUGCGUAGAGAUCGGGAGGAAUACCAGUGGCGAAGGCGGUCUUCUGGACUGACACUGACACUGAGGUGCGAAAGCGUGGGUAGCAAACAGGAUUAGAUACCCCAGUAGUC
Molecule: ribosomal RNA, 465 nt
Filed under: Vreelandella stevensii
Lineage: Bacteria; Pseudomonadati; Pseudomonadota; Gammaproteobacteria; Oceanospirillales; Halomonadaceae
Description: partial 16S ribosomal RNA
Rfam family: Bacterial small subunit ribosomal RNA
Source: RNAcentral